This 494-nucleotide ribosomal RNA is filed under the name uncultured bacterium. RNAcentral's name for it is "bacterial SSU rRNA". It matches the Rfam family "Bacterial small subunit ribosomal RNA", at positions 74 to 540 of the family's 1533-position model. The record is from RNAcentral.
UUCAGCUUGCUGAAGUUAGUAAAGUGGCGCACGGGUGAGUAACGCGUGGGUAAUCUUCCCCCGAAUUGGGGAUAACAUUGCGAAAGCGAUGCUAAUACCGAAUGACAUCUUUCGUACCCAGGUACUUAAGAUCAAAGGUGGCCUCUACAUGUAAGCUACUGUUUGGGGAUGAGCCCGCGUACCAUUAGCUUGUUGGUAGGGUAACGGCCUACCAAGGCUGCGAUGGUUAGCUGGUCUGAGAGGAUGCAUCAGCCACACUGGAACUGACACACGGUCCAGACUCCUACGGGAGGCAGCAGUGAGGAAUUUUGCGCAAUGGGGGAAACCCUGACGCAGCAACGCCGCGUGAGUGAUGAAGGCUUUCGGGUCGUAAAGCUCUGUCAAGUGGGAAGAACCCACAUGGUGUUAAUACCGCCAUGUGCUGACGGUACCACUGAAGGAAGCACCGGCUAACUCCGUGCCAGCAGCCGCGGUAAUACNGGGGGGUGCAAGCG